AUUGAACGCUGGCGGCAGGCCUAACACAUGCAAGUCGAGCGGAUGAAGGGAGCUUGCUCCUGGAUUCAGCGGCGGACGGGUGAGUAAUGCCUAGGAAUCUGCCUGGUAGUGGGGGAUAACGUCCGGAAACGGGCGCUAAUACCGCAUACGUCCUGAGGGAGAAAGUGGGGGAUCUUCGGACCUCACGCUAUCAGAUGAGCCUAGGUCGGAUUAGCUAGUUGGUGGGGUAAAGGCCUACCAAGGCGACGAUCCGUAACUGGUCUGCGAGGAUGAUCAGUCACACUGGAACUGAGACACGGUCCAGACUCCUACGGGAGGCAGCAGUGGGGAAUAUUGGACACUGGGCGAAAGCCUGAUCCAGCCAUGCCGCGUGUGUGAAGAAGGUCUUCGGAUUGUAAAGCACUUUAAGUUGGGAGGAAGGGCAGUAAGUUAAUACCUUGCUGUUUUGACGUUACCAACAGAAUAAGCACCGGCUAACUUCGUG
RNAcentral lists this ribosomal RNA (484 nucleotides) under uncultured bacterium. RNAcentral's name for it is "partial 16S ribosomal RNA". It matches the Rfam family "Bacterial small subunit ribosomal RNA", at positions 30 to 507 of the family's 1533-position model. The record is from RNAcentral.